GUGGGGAAUAUUGGACAAUGGGCGAAAGCCUGAUCCAGCCAUGUCGCGUGUGUGAAGAAGGUCUUCGGAUUGUAAAGCACUUUAAGUUGGGAGGAAGGGUAGUAACCUAAUACGUUGCUACUUUGACGUUACCGACAGAAUAAGCACCGGCUAACUUCGUGCCAGCAGCCGCGGUAAUACGAAGGGUGCAAGCGUUAAUCGGAAUUACUGGGCGUAAAGCGCGCGUAGGUGGUUCAGUAAGUUGGAAGUGAAAUCCCCGGGCUCAACCUGGGAACUGCUUUCAAAACUGCUGAGCUAGAGUACGGUAGAGGGUGGUGGAAUUUCCUGUGUAGCGGUGAAAUGCGUAGAUAUAGGAAGGAACACCAGUGGCGAAGGCGACCACCUGGACUGAUACUGACACUGAGGUGCGAAAGCGUGGGGAGCAAACAGGAUUAGAAACCCUGGUAGUCC
Molecule: ribosomal RNA, 450 nt
Filed under: uncultured bacterium
Lineage: Bacteria
Description: partial 16S ribosomal RNA
Rfam family: Bacterial small subunit ribosomal RNA
Source: RNAcentral